This 558-nucleotide ribosomal RNA is filed under the name Ascomycota sp. UNEX FECRGA 2012E433. Its description in RNAcentral is "eukaryotic LSU rRNA". The stretch from base 201 to 354 matches the Rfam family "5.8S ribosomal RNA". The record is from RNAcentral. Lineage: Eukaryota; Fungi; Ascomycota.
UAGAGGAAGUAAAAGUCGUAACAAGGUUUCCGUAGGUGAACCUGCGGAAGGAUCAUUAUCGUAGGGCUUCGGCCCUGUCGAGAUAGAACCCUUGCCUUUUUGAGUACCUUUCGUUUCCUCGGCAGCCUCGGCUGCCAAUGGGGACCCCAAAAAACACUUUGCAGUACCUGUAACAGUCUGAACAAACAAACAAAAAUUAAAACUUUCAACAACGGAUCUCUUGGUUCUGGCAUCGAUGAAGAACGCAGCGAAAUGCGAUAAGUAGUGUGAAUUGCAGAAUUCAGUGAAUCAUCGAAUCUUUGAACGCACAUUGCGCCCUUUGGUAUUCCUUAGGGCAUGCCUGUUCGAGCGUCAUUUAAACCUUCAAGCUCAGCUUGGUGUUGGGUGACUGUCCGCCGCCCCCGGGCGCGUGGACUCGCCUCAAAAUUAUUGGCGGCCGGUACAUUGGCUUCGAGCGCAGCAGAAACGCGAACUCGGGCCCGUCGUAUUGGCUCCCAGAAGCUAUCUUCACAAUUUUGACCUCGGAUCAGGUAGGGAUACCCGCUGAACUUAAGCAUA